This 458-nucleotide ribosomal RNA is filed under the name uncultured bacterium. RNAcentral describes it as "bacterial SSU rRNA". It matches the Rfam family "Bacterial small subunit ribosomal RNA", at positions 328 to 802 of the family's 1533-position model. The record is from RNAcentral.
AUGAAACACUCCUACGGGAGGCAGCAGUGGGGAAUUUUGGACAAUGGGGGCAACCCUGAUCCAGCAAUGCCGCGUGAGUGAUGAAGGCCUUCGGGUCGUAAAGCUCUUUUACCAGGGAUGAUAAUGACAGUACCUGGAGAAUAAGCUCCGGCUAACUCCGUGCCAGCAGCCGCGGUAAUACGGAGGGAGCUAGCGUUGUUCGGAAUUACUGGGCGUAAAGCGCACGUAGGCGGUUACUCAAGUCAGAGGUGAAAGCCCGGGGCUCAACCCCGGAACUGCCUUUGAAACUAGGUGACUGGAAUCUUGGAGAGGCGAGUGGAAUUCCGAGUGUAGAGGUGAAAUUCGUAGAUAUUCGGAAGAACACCAGUGGCGAAGGCGACUCGCUGGACAAGUAUUGACGCUGAGGUGCGAAAGCGUGGGGAGCAAACAGGAUUAGAUACCCUAGUAGUCCGAAGUUC